Long non-coding RNA from Corticium candelabrum, 825 nucleotides. RefSeq lists it as uncharacterized. The record is from RefSeq and is a predicted model, not a curated record. The transcript has 6 exons. Lineage: Eukaryota; Metazoa; Porifera; Homoscleromorpha; Homosclerophorida; Plakinidae.
UUGGUGUGCCGUUCGUGAGUGUGAAGACAUUCGAUCUGAAGAGGAGAAGCGCCAGAUUAGAAGCUAACUGUCAGCUUAAAAUUUAGUGAAUACAGAUCUAGAACUGCAUGGUGCAACGGUCGAUCAGUGUUGGUAUUACUACACUGUUUGGCUGCAGCUUAACUUAAUAAAUGAGCAGAAAUUUGACCGAAACCAUGCAACUUUGAGAAUUCAGAACAUAGACCUAUCUGGCAACCAUCUAAAACAGGAGGAAGGCCAGCCAAUGCAUGAUAAAACAACAGCUGCAACAAAGGUCUAUGUACUACUACUGCACAAGUUUGACAGAGUUGUGCAGUCUACCACGUAUUUUGAAUCUAGCAGUAUUAUAAAGAGUUGAAUUUCAAGAAACACUGUUGAAGUAUAACAAAGCUGAACAAAGUUUGAGCCCAGUUGUAAAAAAUUUUGCCGGAAUUCAGACAAACUUGAACUGCCUUGAUGCGAAGAAGGCGUCAGGAGUGGCUACAGUCAAACCAAGCAAGACCGCCAACAGUAGGCCAACAACCGAACCGUGAUCGAGUAGGAAUUCGCGUAUCUUCUCCAACAACGAGAAUCUUUGUUGCAGAAGACCAUCAUUGUAGCUUGAUAUGUAAUACAGAACUGGAAACUUUUGCUUGGGACAAAGAAUAUAAAAUAUUCAGGAUUUUGUUUGACUAUUUAUGUUUGACAAGGUUAGAUUGACGUUUGUCAUCUGUGCUUAGAGAUACUUUACAUGCACAAGGUGCUGUCGUCUUUGCACCAUGCAUGUUUGCUGCACCAUACAACUUAAUUAAAUGGGGUUUUUGUAUA